This is a long non-coding RNA of Lepidothrix coronata (blue-crowned manakin), 1748 nucleotides long. RefSeq lists it as uncharacterized. The record is from RefSeq and is a predicted model, not a curated record. NCBI's taxonomy places the organism in Eukaryota, Metazoa, Chordata, Aves, Passeriformes, Pipridae. The transcript is spliced from 3 exons.
AAUAUGUCUUAUUCUUCUAGAAAAGGAAAAAAGAGAACAAAAUGAAGAAAAAGAAAGAAAAGAAGAAAAAGAGAGAGAAAACAGGACCUGUCCAGCUUUCCAAGUUCUUUAAAAACAAAAAGAAGAAUGAAAACUACAGCAUGAUAACCGGAAAGAAAAUUAAGAUGAAAAUUAAGAAGACUAAGGAAGAUAUAGAGAGAGACCGGAACCGUGCGCAGCUCCUGGAAUUUCUGAACUCUGCCUUGUAACGGGAAGAGUGCUGGCCAAGGACUUGGAGAUACACCAAGUCAAUGAUCAUCAUGCCUAGCAAAACACUAAAGGGAAACUCAGGGAAAAGGAUGCCAAGUUCGACAAGACCAGACCCUCCUGCUGAGAAGACAAUCAGGAUGUCCUUUUUUAAUGGCAAAAUGAAGAGUAGCUAAUAACUUGCUAAUGAAGAUCCAUGUCCUCCUUUUGAGAUCCUAAGGUAAUAGCCAGGCUGUGGUGUUUUAGAAAAGCCCAGGAGUGUGUCAUUGACAAUGAUAAGAAAUGACACACUGAAGUCAAAUAAUGUAAUUUCUAUCCUAACUGCAUGCAGAAUGCACUGUUAAUUUCAAAUGUCUUAAUUUUUCUAGUAGUUUACCCAGAGUAUUUGUAAAUGUCUGUUUGAAAGAUGAGGUGUUUCUUAUAUGUAUAUUUUUUUUCUGGUAGUGGUUAUACUUGUCCUAAACAGCAAAAUGACCUCUGUAAAUAGAACAUGCUUUUACAUAAAUGAUUUUUUUGAAAGUUCACUAACUAAUAUAUUACUUUCUUUCAGAGUUUGAGAUAGGAUCUUUCUCUGGACAGUUUAUUGCUCUCUCUCACUAGAAAAUGUAAAAGCAAAAUACUCUAGAGCAAUAACAGUAGCGAAUGAUUUGUAUCCUAAAAUAGAAGCAGAAAAGGUCUCUGAUUUUGUUUAUCUCAAUCAGCUGUUCAAAGGCAGCUCACAAUAAAUAGUUUACCCCCCCCAUCUGGAGUUGCAGUUCCUAGACCUAAAAACUCUGGAGUUCUGGCCUGCCUUUCUGAUCCUUUGAGUUGUGUAUCAAAUCUUUCUCUGUCUGAAGUGAAGCAAGACACACACCACAUACCUUACCCUAAUGGAGAAAGAGCUGCAGGAAUAAAUCAGAGGCAGGCAGUGCCAGUGACUCUCUGGAUAUGUUGACAGUCCGCUGUGAGAUGAGACAGGUAUGGAUAUGCAGCUGGAGCCCAGCAUAACUUGUGUGUUAGCUGUGGUAGUUUGCUCAGUGCUUGUGCUCUUCCUUCCUUCCAGAGCUUGACUUUGGAUUAGCCAGCAGGCCCCUGUGUACAUAACCCUGACGUGGGAGUCCCACUUGAAUCGCUCGCGAAGCAAUUGCUUCCCAGGAACUACCAUUUAGGAAUGCCUGAAAAAAAGGUGUCAAGGGUAGUUGACUUUGACAAGAGCACCAGGUCUACAGCAGUCAGAGUGUGGGGAGUUCAUUAAAGAGCAAGUGGAAAACUCCUUGGAUGUGUGUCUCUUACGGUGUUUUGAAGUAAACGUGAAGAUCUGUACCAUUGCUCAAGGGAUAAUUUUAUAACUGUUUUGAUGUGUGAAACCUUCUGAAGAUGCUAGAAUCCUGUCUUUUCCCUAGUUUUCUUUUAUUGGUGAAGCAUUUUAUAGUUGUUGCAGAGAUGUAAUUCUUUAGAGAUUAAAGCCCUGAUCCAGAAAAGCAAGCCUUUACAUCCUUAUCAACAUAAAACUUGGAAAAACA